AUACGAAGGGGGCAAGCGUUGUUCGGAAUAACUGGGCGUAAAGCGCACGUAGGCGGAAUGUUAAGUUAGAGGUGAAAUCCCAGGGCUCAACCCUGGAACUGCCUUUAAUACUGGCAAUCUAGAGACCGAGGGAGGUGAGUGGAAUUCCGAGUGUAGAGGUGAAAUUCGUAGAUAUUCGGAGGAACACCAGUGGCGAAGGCGGCUCACUGGCUCGGUACUGACGCUGAGGUGCGAAAGCGUGGGGAGCAAACAGGAUUAGAAACCCUAGUAGUCC
This 274-nucleotide ribosomal RNA is filed under the name uncultured bacterium. Its description in RNAcentral is "partial 16S ribosomal RNA". It matches the Rfam family "Bacterial small subunit ribosomal RNA", at positions 523 to 796 of the family's 1533-position model. The record is from RNAcentral.